CCAACAAGAAAGAACCUGACAAGGAACGUCACGGGUGCCGGACUGUGUACACAGCGGAUGGCAACGAAAGUGCUCCAGUGGAUCCAUAGUCUGUAAGGGUUCAGAACAGCAAUGCCGCGCCCCCGAGGAGUGGAAGCACCCUCGCCUUAGCGGCUGGAAGGCUGGCGCUGUCUGUGCAGGUGGCGACUGGUGGUGACCUUGCCUUUCGCGCUGCGUGGGAACGUGAUGGCCGCAGUGCUUUUAUUUUUCUAACUCUCUGUGAUAACCUUGGGCUGGCCGCUUUGUACUGGAAGCUCAAGGCUAAAUAAAUAAGCUCAUAUCUUUGA
This is a long non-coding RNA of Myotis brandtii (Brandt's bat), 326 nucleotides long. RefSeq lists it as uncharacterized. Lineage: Eukaryota; Metazoa; Chordata; Mammalia; Chiroptera; Vespertilionidae. The record is from RefSeq and is a predicted model, not a curated record. The transcript is spliced from 2 exons.